AUCAUUAAACUGGUCUUUAUUUUCAAUGUUUUGUGAAAACUGAGGAAUGUCAUGCAUCCGAGGUCUAAAUUUGAGAUUAUUACAUUUUGCCCUUUUUUUUCGAGACAUCAGUGCACACAUGCUUGAAUUUGUUGGUAAUUAGCGAAAUGAGAGAUGUCUAGAAGGGUUUAGAGGAGAAUGGGAUAAAUGUAUGGACAAGUCAUUCCUCAUAUAAUCCUCAAAGGAGAUGCGAUACGAGAAUGUCAGGGUGAACACGAGAUACACAAAGGGUGCCCCAGCUUGAUGUUAUUGAAAAUGAGCUGGGGUUUGGAUCCAUGAAAGUUAGGGUGAGAAAAUUUCAAAUGAAAUUUGCAAAGCUGCCCCAGUCUUGAGGUUAUGGGUUGAUGAGAAACUCUUGUAAGACUCACAAAGUUGUCCCGGUUUUUUUGGCAAGGGGUUUCAUUUGGAAGAGGUAUUGGACAUGAAAAGGAUCGGCUAAAAGGAUGGUCCCAUUUUAGUUUGAUUUUCUUUUUACAUGCUUUUGGCUAGUUGACAAAGAGAUCCCCUCUUCCCGAGACGUUAUCUUCUUCUCUUUUUUCAUUUUUUUUCAUUUUCAUUUUCAACUUUUUUUUUGUUUUUUUUUUUUUGCAACACAUUGAAAGUCAUUUCCCCUUAUCGCAAAGUUAAGCUUUAUGAAAAUUUUAGCAAACAUUAUCCAAUCUGCGUGGACUUUAUUAGGCUU
This 721-nucleotide long non-coding RNA is filed under the name Vigna radiata. Its description in RNAcentral is "long non-coding RNA (VRAD_LNC001196)". Lineage: Eukaryota; Viridiplantae; Streptophyta; Magnoliopsida; Fabales; Fabaceae. The record is from RNAcentral.